Molecule: ribosomal RNA, 497 nt
Filed under: uncultured bacterium
Lineage: Bacteria
Description: partial 16S ribosomal RNA
Rfam family: Bacterial small subunit ribosomal RNA
Source: RNAcentral
GACGAACGCUGGCGGCGUGCCUAAUACAUGCAAGUUGAGCGCUGAAGGUUGGUACUUGUACCGACUGGAUGAGCAGCGAACGGGUGAGUAACGCGUGGGGAAUCUGCCUUUGAGCGGGGGACAACAUUUGGAAACGAGUGCUAAUACCGCAUAAAAACUUUAAACACAAGUUUUAAGUUUGAAAGAUGCAAUUGCAUCACUCAAAGAUGAUCCCGCGUUGUAUUAGCUAGUUGGUGAGGUAAAGGCUCACCAAGGCGAUGAUACAUAGCCGACCUGAGAGGGUGAUCGGCCACAUUGGGACUGAGACACGGCCCAAACUCCUACGGGAGGCAGCAGUAGGGAAUCUUCGGCAAUGGACGAAAGUCUGACCGAGCAACGCCGCGUGAGUGAAGAAGGUUUUCGGAUCGUAAAACUCUGUUGGUGGAGAAGAACGUUGGUGAGAGUGGAAAGCUCAUCAAGUGACGGUAACUACCCAGAAAGGGACGGCUAACUACGUG